GCGCUUCAGCAGCAAAUACACUAAAAUUGGAAUAACAGUGAAGAUUAGCAUGGCCCUCCCACAAAGAUGACACGCAAAUUCUUGAAGAGAUGUUUUCCCUU
This 101-nucleotide small nuclear RNA is filed under the name Ornithorhynchus anatinus (platypus). Lineage: Eukaryota; Metazoa; Chordata; Mammalia; Monotremata; Ornithorhynchidae. The record is from RNAcentral.